AAAUUGAGUGGAAGGUAACAUGGAUGGAGACAAGAAAAGCUGUGUGUAUCUGGAAGGAGCCCGUACCGCAAACCGACACAGGUAGAUAGGAAGAAGAUUCUAAGGCCAGCGGGAGAAGGGUUGUUAAGGAACUCGGCAAGUUGACCCCGUAACUUCGGGAGAAGGGGUGCUUACGAAGGUAAGCCGCAGAGAAUAGGCCCAAGCGACUGUUUAGCAAAAACACAGCUCUAUGCUAAAUCGAAAGAUGACGUAUAUGGGGUGACACCUGCCCGGUGCUGGAAGGUUAAGAGGAGAUGUGAGAGCAUUGAAUUGAAGCCCCAGUAAACGGCGGCCGUAACUAUAACGGUCCUAAGGUAGCGAAAUUCCUUGUCAGGUAAGUUCUGACCCGCACGAAUGGUGUAACGAUUUGGGCACUGUCUCAACAACCUACCCGGCGAAAUUGUAGUACCGGUGAAGAUGCCGGUUACCCGCGACUAGACGGAAAGACCCCAUGGAGCUUCACUGUAGCUUAAUAUUGAAUUUUGGUAUUUCAUGUACAGGAUAGGUGGGAGACUGGGAAAUACAGGCGUCAGCUUGUAUGGAGUCACUGUUGGGAUACCACUCUUGAGGUGCUGAAAUUCUAACCUGCGUCUUUGAAUCAAGACGGGGGACAUUGUUAGGUGGGCAGUUUGACUGGGGCGGUCGCCUCCAAAAGAGUAACGGAGGCGCUCAAAGGUUCGCUCAGCAUGGACGGAAACCAUGCCAAAGAGUGCAAACGCAAAAGCGAGCCUAACUGCGAGACUGACGGGUCGAGCAGUAACGAAAGUUGGAGUUAGUGAUCCGGCGGUAUGUGAGUGGAAAUGCCGUCGCUCAGCGGAUAAAAGCUACCCUGGGGAUAACAGGCUGAUCUCCCCCAAGAGUCCACAUCGACGGGGAGGUUUGGCACCUCGAUGUCGGCUCAUCGCAUCCUGGGGCUGAAUUCGGUCCCAAGGGUUUGGCUGUUCGCCAAUUAAAGCGGUACGCGAGCUGGGUUCAGAACGUCGUGAGACAGUUCGGUCCCUAUCUGUCGUGGGCGUAGGAUAUUUGAAAGGAGCUGUCCCUAGUACGAGAGGACCGGGAUGGACGCACCUCUGGUGAACCAGUUGUCACGCCAGUGGCACGGCUGGGCAGCUAAGUGCGGAACGGAUAAACGCUGAAAGCAUCUAAGCGUGAAGCCGACCUUAAGAUAAGAUAUCCGUUCUUCGGAAUAAGACCCCUUGUAGACUACGAGGUUGAUAGGCUUAAAGUGUAAGCAUGGUGACAUGUUUAGCUUGCAAGUACUAAUCGGUCGAUUGCUUUU
Molecule: ribosomal RNA, 1318 nt
Filed under: metagenome
Description: bacterial LSU rRNA
Rfam family: Bacterial large subunit ribosomal RNA
Source: RNAcentral